GGGAGAAAGUGGUAGGUGGGAGGGAAUCCUUAGAAAGGUCUGUGAUCGGCGGUGGUGGAGGAGCGUGGGGAUGUAGCGCGACUUCGCGCGGCGGAAAAGGCUUAAAAACCUGGUUUCGGUAAAGAGGGCCGGAGGGAGAAACAAUUCCAGGAAGAGUGGGCACUGCAAGUUGAUGGUAGAGCCCAGAGCAAUGCCUGGAUGUCUUGGUUCCCCCGCUUUUGUAUUAUUUUCUACAAGAUGAUUUUUGUAUUCCUCACACCUUGAUUCCUAACUACAGUUUUAAAACAAUCAACAUGUACAUGGAUAGAUAGGUGGAUUCAUGGGCCUACUCGAGACCACAUAAAUCAGUUCCUGAAAGUGAGGUCAGGUUUGGAAACUACUCUUCUACCCUGUGUUGGCAAAAACAAACACAAAUCAGGGGGCUGCUGACAGGCCAGAAGAGGGUGUCAGAUCCCCUGAAGCUAAAGUUACAGAUGCUUGUAAGCUGUUUGGUGUGUGUACUGGGAACCAAACUCCAGUCCUCUACAAGAGCAGCAGCAUGCUUAACCACUGAGCCUUCUCUCCAGCCCCGAGCAUGAGCUUUUGAAUAAGUUUUACCUCUAUUCAAUUUUUAUAUUUAUACCUUGUAACUAUCUCCUAAGGUUUAUUGUGAGAAUAUAUGAAAUGAUAAUGCAUGCAACAAAUUAUGAAGAGCCUAAAUAAAUGCUACUUUUUUCCUUUG
Long non-coding RNA from Nannospalax galili (Upper Galilee mountains blind mole rat), 721 nucleotides. RefSeq lists it as uncharacterized. Lineage: Eukaryota; Metazoa; Chordata; Mammalia; Rodentia; Spalacidae. The transcript is spliced from 3 exons. The record is from RefSeq and is a predicted model, not a curated record.